CAAACAGAAUUACUUCCGGUCUGGCCGCGUAGAUUGCGAUGUCUUCACAAGACUCCAUGUGCAGGGAAUCCGUAAGCCUUUGAAGCAAUACAUGGUCCGUGACAGUAAGGAAGAAAAGAAACUUUUCAAUCUGAUGGAAGGCUGUCUGCAGUAUGAACCGUCAAAGCGCCUCACAGCUGCGGAGUGUCUCCGUCACCCCUUCUUCAAAUACUUGCUCCAAGCCUCCGGUACCUGCAGGCAAUUCUUAUUCUAACGACCGCAAUGAAUUUAAAAAUUUCCACCAGCAGUUGGUUGAGUAUGAAAUGUAUGAGCUGAGGAGGGUUUACAAGUAUUUCUGGAAUGACCUAAUCUACGUUGUGGAAUGUUUGGACACUCACAGCCUCCUGAGGGAACUAAAGUCACGGACUCCACUUAAUCUAGAGAGCUACCCAAAAAUGAAAGAAGACCUUGGCGUCACCAGAUUUUCUACACAGUUGGUACAUGACAUUUUCAAGGAAGGAAGAGAUGCUGUUCUAGGAUUUUGGGAAAGCCUUCAUGCAGUACAGAGGGAUCACCCACAUCCUAAUUGGAUUGAGAUUUUGAGUGAAUUAAUCAAUACAGGUGAUACGCUGGUGCAGCAGAUCCUGCUGGAUAAAAACGGGCACAACUUGCCCCCAGAGGUGAAAGAUAUUCAGGAAAGGCAUAGGCAACAUCUUCUGGAGAAAACUCAGAGCUACGUGGAACACAAACCCCCAGGGUCUACCCAGGAACAGCAACAGUUCUACAUUUCUGAACGUUACAUCAAAUUGAUUGUUGUCUCUACCGAUCAUUUCAGACAGCGUCCUCAGAAUGAGCUGGUGCACACUGGGCAGAAACACGAGAAAUACUUAAAGAAGCAACAGAAUGAGCUGAAACAUAUUUAUCUCGAUAGGUUGUUCCACUGGUGUCACGAAUCAAAAUGUGUGCCACAUAGAGUAAUGGUGAGCGGAGUACCGGGCAUUGGGAAGACCACACUGAUGCAGAAGUUUGUCUAUGACUGGGUGCAUAGAAAACUCUAUCAGAGAUUUGCCUUUGUCUUCUUCUUCAAAUUCCGUGAGCUGAACAGACUGGAGAAGACCAGCUUGGAGGAGAUGGUCCUUCAGCAAUAUCCAUACCUUCAGAGUCAGCUUGGAAAUAUCUUACAGGAUCCAGAAAAACUGCUCUUUAUAUUUGAUGGCUUAGAUGAAAGCAUUCACCAAAUGGAUUUCACAUCAAAGAAAGUGUGCAGCAAUCCAAAACAGGUGGAAGAUACAAACACAAUUGUUGGUUGCUUAUUGAAAGACUUUCUUCUUAAGGGUUGCUCUGUGCUAAUGACCAGUCGUCCAACCAAACUAGUAGCAAUUGAUACUAAUGUCUUCCAACGAGUAACUGAAAUUAUGGGCUUCUUUUUUAGGGAAAGACAGAUGUACUUUGAACAUUUCUUCAGAAACAAGGAACUGUCGGAGAAGGCGUUUGAUUAUGUCAGGGAGAAUGACGCACUCUACACUUUCUGUUAUAUCCCAUCCUACUGUUGGAUCAUCUGUACGGUACUAUCAAUGUGCUUCAAGGCCCAACCGGCAAACCAUGAGCAGCUGAUGUUAAUAUUGCCCAAAACAGUAACUCAACUCUUUGGGACUUUUGUCGCCAACAUUCUGUCCAAUCACAGCCAGGAUAAAUGUGGUGCUCGCGAACUGGUGAAGUCCAUUGGGUGGAUGGCAGAACAUGGAGUAAUGAAUCAUCUUCUUAUAUUUGAUAAGCGAGAUUUGGGAUCUUUCAGUAUAGAUGAUUCCUCCCGUCUCUUGUCAAGUUUCAUGAUGGAAUCUGACCAACCACCUAAUAUCACCUAUUCCUUCUUACAUCUCACCAUCCAGGAGUUCCUUGCAGCAUUGUUUCACUAUCUUGAUAAUUGUCCGGAAAAGUUGAAAAAGUCUCUACAGAAAGCCCAAUCUUUUGAAGACUGUCGUGGGGAAGUUUUUGUUCGUUUUCUUUGUGGUCUAUCGGAUGUGUCCACCAGAUCCAUUCUGAAACCUUACCUAGGAGAAUUUACCAGUCAGUCAUCCAGGGACGUCAUCACCUGGCUUCAGAAACAUCGCCAUGAAUUAGAUGCUCUACUCACAAAUGAACAGGACAAAAGGAAGACUCUGAAUUUAUUCACCUAUUUCUAUGAAUCUAAAAAUAAGGCUCUAGUAUAUGAAACUCUCGGACCCAACAGAAAAUUAGAUUUUAAUCGUUUCUCCUUGACGCCUCUUGAUUGCACAGUCUUGUCAUUUAUUCUUGAGUCCUGCAGACAUACAGAGGAGCUCGAUGUUAGCAGUUGCUCAAUUGCAAAUGAGGGACUGGAGAGGCUUGCUCCAAAUCUACACACAGUUGUAGACCUCAGGGAAUGUUUAUUCCCCACUGCCCGCCCCUGGGUUCUUUAUAAACUGAGGAAAAGCACCAGAGCUGGGAGUCUGUAUGCAGGAGAUACACAGCGCUCUGUGACGUGCCAAGUCUUUGGGAUCUCUACGCUUUGGGAGGUGUAUAAGGUGUCCUCCUUGGUAUAACCAGAUCUGUAACGCUGCAGCCUGGGUGUUGGCAGAAGUAGGGUGCUGUGCCCUGGGAAGAGGGGAGUUUUUAUUCCCCACUGCCGGCCCCUGGGUUCUUUAUAAACAGGGGAAGAGCACCAGAGCUGGGAGUCUGUAUGCAGGAGAUACACAACGUCCUGUGACGUGCCAAGUCUUUGGGAUCUCUACGCUCUGGGGGUCUAUAAAGCAUCUUCCUUGGUAUAACCAGAUCUGUAACGUUGCAGCCUGGGUGUUGGCAGAAGUAGGGUGCUGUGCCUGGGAAGAAG
Molecule: RNA transcript, 2827 nt
Organism: Pseudophryne corroboree (corroboree frog)
Lineage: Eukaryota; Metazoa; Chordata; Amphibia; Anura; Myobatrachidae
Gene name: dual specificity protein kinase CLK2-like
Exons: 10
Source: RefSeq, a predicted model, not a curated record